AAAUAUAAAAACAAAUAUGCCAAAAAUAUUUUAAAUUAAGCUAACUAAAUAAUAUUCCUAUUUUUAUUUUAUUUUGCCAACUCUUCAGCGGAUAUUGAAGAGCGUCUGUGGCUGCGUAACUCAACAUGAUUUCAAUUUGCCAACACUCGACCAACACUUGGCUUUCUUUGGACUUCCUUUAUGGCAGUUCAAUGGCCCUGGAGCAACAUACAGCAGCAGAUGAUUCCAUAAGGCCAACAAAGUUGUAAUACAGAAUGUGCGUAAUUAACAAAAAAGUAAUUCACAUUUAUGGAAUGGAGCCUAGUAACUUGUACAAAUAAAAGAAAUCAUCAGCUAUGAAUGGAAAUCAGGAAAUACAUUUUGUAAUUUGGAUUCUCUUAAAAGGAGUAAAUACAUACAUAUAUCCCAUAUGAAGAAUAAGAAUACCCUCGGCAAUAGAAACAGAAUUUAAAUCAUCGCCCGCUGCCCAAUAAUUAAGAAAAGGGAGUCAAAAAUCACAUCGCCUGGGGGUAGCUGACAGUUUGGACAGUCGGUCGGUCUCUGGCUGCUUGGCUGCUGGCUGCUGGCUGCUGGCUGCCUGGUCAAGAGGCAAGUCAAAGUUUUGAAGUUCAGUUGGUCAUUGAAGGCAGCUCGUUUCCGCUUGUUUACAUGUUUAUGCCCAAAGACAAGGCACAAAGGAUUACCGUGCUGCAGCAAUAUCGGACCACGACGUCGUCGCUCGUUGUAAUCAAAGAAAUUAGCGGCACGAUACGUGCAACGGGCCGUGGCGAGUGUGAAUGGAUGGUUGGUUGAAUUGAGCUGAGCUGAGUUGAGCCGAGCUGAGCUCCAAGAAGGGUUGCACCCUGGACUUAACUGGACUGAACUGAACGGACUGACCAUCAUUUAACAUUUC
Molecule: long non-coding RNA, 892 nt
Organism: Drosophila sulfurigaster albostrigata
Lineage: Eukaryota; Metazoa; Arthropoda; Insecta; Diptera; Drosophilidae
Exons: 2
Source: RefSeq, a predicted model, not a curated record